UACGUAGGAUGCAAGCGUUGUCCGGAUUUAUUGGGUUUAAAGGGUGCGUAGGCGGCCUAUUAAGUUAGUGGUGAAAACGUUCGGCUUAACCGGAUACCCGCCAUUGAUACUGAUAGACUUGAGUGCGACAGAGGGUGUUGGAAUGUGUGGUGUAGCGGUGAGAUGCUUAGAGAUCACGCAGAACACCAAUUGCGAAGGCAGAUGCCUAUGUCGUAACUGACGCUGAGGCACGAAAGAGUGGGGAGCAAACAGG
This 253-nucleotide ribosomal RNA is filed under the name uncultured bacterium. RNAcentral's name for it is "partial 16S ribosomal RNA". It matches the Rfam family "Bacterial small subunit ribosomal RNA", at positions 524 to 776 of the family's 1533-position model. The record is from RNAcentral.